AUUGAACGCUGGCGGCAUGCCUUACACAUGCAAGUCGAACGGUAACAGGUCUUCGGAUGCUGACGAGUGGCGAACGGGUGAGUAAUACAUGGGAACGUGCCUAGUAGUGGGGGAUAACUACUCGAAAGAGUGGCUAAUACCGCAUGAGAUCUACGGAUGAAAGCAGGGGAUCGCAAGACCUUGUGCUACUAGAGCGGCCGAUGGGAGAUUAGGUAGUAGGUGGGAUAAAAGCUUACCAAGCCGACGAUCUGUAGCUGGUCUGAGAGGACGAUCAGCCACACUGGGACUGAGACACGGCCCAGACUCCUACGGGAUGCAGCAGUGGGGAAUUUUGGACAAUGGCCGCAAGCCUGAUCCAGCAAUGCCGCGUGCAGGAUGAAGGCCUUCGGGUUGUAAACUGCUUUUGUACGGAACGAAAAGCCCUGGGUUAAUACCCUGGGGUCAUGACGGUACCGUAAGAAUAAGCACCGGCUAACUACGUGCCAGCCGCCGCGGUAA
This 498-nucleotide ribosomal RNA is filed under the name uncultured bacterium. RNAcentral describes it as "partial 16S ribosomal RNA". It matches the Rfam family "Bacterial small subunit ribosomal RNA", at positions 30 to 523 of the family's 1533-position model. The record is from RNAcentral.